UUGACCUCUGAUCAGUUGGUGCUGUCCGCUGAAC
This 34-nucleotide ribosomal RNA is filed under the name Trichoderma harzianum. RNAcentral's name for it is "partial 28S ribosomal RNA". The record is from RNAcentral. Lineage: Eukaryota; Fungi; Ascomycota; Sordariomycetes; Hypocreales; Hypocreaceae.